GGUCAAGAUAUAAAGAGCGUAGGGCGAAUGCCUUGGCACUAAGAGCCGAUGAAGGACGUGGUAAGCUGCGAAAAGCUACGGGGAACUGCAAACAAGUAUUGAUCCGUAGAUAUCCGAAUGAGGAAACUCACAUAUGGAGAACCGUAUGUAACGUAUGAUGAAUAAAUAGUCAUACGUGGGGAACGAGGGGAACUGAAACAUCUAAGUACCCUUAGGAAGAGAAAGUAAAAAAACGAUACCGAAAGUAGCGGCGAGCGAAAUCGGUAGAGCCCAAACCAUGUUUCGGCAUGGGGUUGCGGACAUAUCAACAAAGUAUCUGAGACGAUAGUCAAAGACUUCUGGAAAGAAGCUCCAAAGAGUGUGAUAGACACGUAGGCGAAAAAGUCAAAGAGCAAGAUAUGAUCCAGAGUACCACAGGACACGAGAAAUCCGGUGGGAAGCAGGGAGGACCAUCUCCCAAGGCUAAAUACUACUUAGUGACCGAUAGAGAAAUAGUACCGUGAGGGAAAGGUGAAAAGAACCCCGGGAGGGGAGUGAAAAAGAACCUGAAACCCUAUGCUUAUAAGCAGUGGGAGCACUACGAGUGUGACCGCGUACUUUUUGUAGAACGGGCCAGCGAGUUACGAUAUGCAGCAAGGUUAAUAACUGAGAGGUUAGGAGCCGAAGCGAAAGCGAGUCUUAAUAGGGCGAAAGUUGCAUGUCGUAGACCCGAAACCAGGUGACCUAUCCAUGAGCAGGUUGAAGCUAGAGUAAAAUCUGGUGGAGGACCGAACCCGUUAGCGUUUAAAAGCUAUGGGAUGACUUGUGGAUAGCGGUGAAAUUCCAAUCGAACCUGGAGAUAGCUGGUUCUCCUCGAAAUAGCUUUAGGGCUAGCCUUAACGUAAGAUUAAUGGGGGUAGAGCACUGAAUAGUCAAGGGACGUUAUACGUUACCGAAACUUAUCAAACUCCGAAUACCAUAAAAUUAGCGUUGGGAGUCAGACUAUGUGAGAUAAGUUUCAUAGUCAAAAGGGAAAGAGCCCAGAUCACCAGCUAAGGUCCCAAAGAUAGAUUAAGUGGAAAAGGAUGUAGGACUACACAGACAACCAGGAAGUUGGCUUAGAAGCAGCCACACUUUCAAAGAGUGCGUAAUAGCUCACUGGUCGAGUGGACCUGCGCCGAAGAUUACCGGGGCUAAAAUCUAUCACCGAAGCUGUGGGAUUGUAUUAAUACAAUCGGUAGAGGAGCAUUCUGUACGAGUCGAAGCGCCAUCGAAAGAGGCUGUGGAUUGUACAGAAGAGAGAAUGCUGGCAUGAGUAGCGAAAGGUGAGUGAGAAUCUCACCCAUCGAAAGACUAAGGAUUCCUGAGGAAGGCUCGUCCACUCAGGGUAAGUCGGGACCUAAGCCGAGGCCAAAAGGCGUAGGCGAUGGAUAACUGGUGGAAAUUCCAGUACCACCGAAGAUCGUUAAAAGAGAAGUGGGGACACAGAAAGAUAAGUUAGCGUACUGAUGGAAUAGUACGUCUAAGUAAGUAGGGAGAAGAGAUAGGCAAAUCCGUUUCUUCAAUAAUCCUGAGAUACGAAUGGGAGCGAAAACAAGUAGUGAAGUAACUGAGUCUACGCUGUCAAGAAAAUCCACUAUCGAGAUCAAGGUGCCCGUACCGUAAACCGACACAGGUAGUCAAGGAGAGAAUCCAAAGAUGAGCGGAAGAACUAUUGUUAAGGAACUAGGCAAAAUAACCCCGUAACUUCGGGAGAAGGGGUGCCCAUGGAAGUGAAAGUCGAACGACCGGAGCUUUAGUGGGCCACAGAAAACAGGCUCAAGCGACUGUUUACCAAAAACACAGGUCUCUGCUAAAUCGAAAGAUGAAGUAUAGGGGCUGACACCUGCCCGGUGCUGGAAGGUUAAGGGGAGCUGUAAGCGUAAGUGAAGCAGUGAACUUAAGCCCCAGUAAACGGCGGCCGUAACUAUAACGGUCCUAAGGUAGCGAAAUUCCUUGUCGGGUAAGUUCCGACCCGCACGAAAGGUGUAACGAUUUGAGCACUGUCUCAACAAUAGAUCCGGUGAAAUUGUAGUACUCGUGAAGAUGCGAGUUACCCGCGGCAGGACGGAAAGACCCCAUGGAGCUUUACUGCAGGCUGACAUUGGAAUUCGGUAUUAAUUGUACAGGAUAGGUGGGAGACUAAGAAACAUGUACGCCAGUAUGUGUGGAGUCGCUGUUGGGAUACCACUCUAUUGAUACUGAAUUUCUAACAUGAUACUGUGAUCCAGUAUAUGGACACUGUCAGUUGGGCAGUUUGACUGGGGCGGUCGCCUCCGAAAGAGUAACGGAGGCGCUCAAAGGUUUCCUCAGCACGGUCGGAAAUCGUGCGAAGAGUGUAAAGGCAGAAGGAAGCUUGACUGCAAGACGUACAUGUCGAGCAGGAACGAAAGUUGGACUUAGUGAUCCGGUGGCGCCGAAUGGAAGGGCCAUCGCUUAACGGAUAAAAGCUACCCUGGGGAUAACAGGCUUAUCUCCCCCAAGAGUCCACAUCGACGGGGAGGUUUGGCACCUCGAUGUCGGCUCGUCUCAUCCUGGGGCUGAAGCAGGUCCCAAGGGUUGGGCUGUUCGCCCAUUAAAGAGGCACGCGAGCUGGGUUCAGAACGUCGUGAGACAGUUCGGUCCCUAUCCGUCGUGGGCGUAGGAAAUUUGAAGGGAGCUGUCCUUAGUACGAGAGGACCGGGAUGGACAGACCUAUGGUGAAUCAGUUGUUCCGCCAGGAGCACGGCUGAGUAGCUAAGUCUGGAAUUGAUAAGCGCUGAAGGCAUCUAAGCGCGAAACAAACCUUAAGAUAAGAUUUCCCAUUACGUAAGUAAGUAAGACCCCUGAAAGACUAACAGGUAGAUAGGUCACAGGUGUAAGUGCAGCAAUGUAUUCAGCUGAGUGAUACUAAUAGGUCGAGGUCUUGACCAA
RNAcentral lists this ribosomal RNA (2931 nucleotides) under Sedimentibacter sp. zth1. RNAcentral's name for it is "Bacterial large subunit ribosomal RNA". It matches the Rfam family "Bacterial large subunit ribosomal RNA". Lineage: Bacteria; Bacillati; Bacillota; Tissierellia. The record is from Rfam by way of RNAcentral.